UAGUUAGUCCCUUCUGUUUGAAAACUUAAUAAUUUAGUUCUUAAUGAUUAAGUUUUCAAACAGAAGGGACUAACUAGUUAAUUUUAACAAGCCUCCUGCACAUUUAGUUAAAUACCCUUACAAAAAUGGCAAUACACGAAGCACUUCCAUUCUUCCCGUUAGCAUUUCUGUAUGGUUCACUCAUGAAGAAAAGUCGAUUUUACUUAAAAUUGGAAAUGCAUGGCGAACUAAGAGAAAAAGCAAUGAGUCAAAAUCUGGGGCUUUCUACCGUGACUUCCAAUAAUUUAUGCUAUCUACCUUACUGAUCCACUUUGAAUGGAUGCAACCUUGCAUACACCAGCCGACGUGGUGAACGGAAUAUCUUUAUAGCAGGCUACUAGAUCUGUGUUCGUUUGGAGAUCCACUUGCAGUGUCUCCCAGACCUUCUUUUUAGGGUUUAGGACAUCAUCCGGCUCACCUUCAAACCCAGGAAAUGUAACUCUCUCUCCAACAGCAGCAGAUUCAGGUGGAUCAACCAACUCAACCUUUGUGUGGUCACUGUUGGAAGCAGCAAGAACCAUAGCCUGUGACUUGAUACCCCUCAUGGUUGCAGGCUUUAAGUUACAAAGGACACAGACCUUACGAUCCUGCAUCUCUUCUAGAGGUAUAUAAUUGACUAGUCCACUAACAACUUUUCUAGUCUCUCCUCCCCCGACAUCGAUUUCUUCCACAUAUAGCGAAUCAGCAUCGGGAUGCUUCUGAGCUUUCUUAAUUAGGCCAACACGAAUAUCAAGUCUAGUGAUGGAGAUUUCUGGCUCAACAGUGCU
RNAcentral lists this unclassified non-coding RNA (806 nucleotides) under Hevea brasiliensis (rubber tree). Lineage: Eukaryota; Viridiplantae; Streptophyta; Magnoliopsida; Malpighiales; Euphorbiaceae. The record is from RNAcentral.